Osmerus eperlanus (European smelt) is the source of this 310-nucleotide long non-coding RNA. RefSeq lists it as uncharacterized. The record is from RefSeq and is a predicted model, not a curated record. The transcript has 2 exons. NCBI's taxonomy places the organism in Eukaryota, Metazoa, Chordata, Actinopteri, Osmeriformes, Osmeridae.
GGAAGACCAACCUGACGAAACGAUGCCAGACGCACCACCUUUCCAACCUCCAAAUGCCUUGGCAGUUCAAAGGAGGAUGGAGAUUAUUCAAUGUUUUCGAGACUGAGUCUGUCAGGACCCUUGGUUCACGGCUUGAUGUGGCGCGGGAGCGUGGUGCCUCACUGUGGGUCGCAGCGGGGGGAAUAAUUGCCUCUCCCAGGAUGACUCCGGAACUGUCUCCACUCACUGCAAUUUAUGGAAUUAUUUGAUUACUGCAUCAGAGCAGAUUAUAAUUUCCUGUCAAAUAAAGUGGUGACCACAAUAUUGACAA